This 427-nucleotide long non-coding RNA is filed under the name Linum usitatissimum (flax). Its description in RNAcentral is "long non-coding RNA (LUSI_LNC001526)". Lineage: Eukaryota; Viridiplantae; Streptophyta; Magnoliopsida; Malpighiales; Linaceae. The record is from RNAcentral.
UUGGCAAGCAAUUCAGGCAUCAGUAACAAUCAAUAUGUAGGACUUGAGAGACGAGUUCCAUUUUCCAGAUAUGAACAACCUAUUAGACUUGAGAUAAAGGGUUCUGUUUGCAGGUUCACAAAUCUAGAAAUAGUCUAAUCGAACUCAAGUAGGAAAUCUGGUAAGGGUAGAUCUUGCAAAUAAGAAAAUGAACUACCACGCAGGUUUUGUGAAGCAAAAAGCAUGUCACUUUCAUAAACCAAAUCAGAAUCAAAUGAGCAGGGAAUGUAACUAGGGCUAGAAAGGCGGUUAAUGAAAUCGUCAUCAAAUGAAGGUACCUUAGAGUUCAAGGAUGAAUCGGACGAAAAGGAUAUGAGAUCUUGAUUUGGUUCAACGAGGGACUGAACUUGUUGUCCAGUACUGUCAGGUUCUAUUUCUUCCUCAAGGA